GAUGAACGCUGGCGGCGUGCCUAAUACAUGCAAGUCGAGCGAACGGACGAGAAGCUUGCUUUUCUGAUGUUAGCGGCGGACGGGUGAGUAACACGUGGAUAACCUACCUAUAAGACUGGGAUAACUUCGGGAAACCGGAGCUAAUACCGGAUAAUAUUUUGAACCGCAUGGUUCAAAAGUGAAAGACGGUCUUGCUGUCACUUAUAGAUGGAUCCGCGCUGCAUUAGCUAGUUGGUAAGGUAACGGCUUACCAAGGCAACGAUGCAUAGCCGACCUGAGAGGGUUAUUCGGCACAACGGAACUGAGACACGGUCCAGACCCCCAACGGAAGCCGGAGUAGGGAAUCUUUCGGAAAUGGCCAAAGCCUGAACGAGCCACCGCGGCUUAGUUAUGAAGGUCCUCGGAUUCUAAAACCCUGGUAAUUGGGAAGAACAUAUGGUUAAGUAACUUGGCAAAUCUUGAACGGACCCAAUCAGAAAGCCACCGCCUAACACGUG
Molecule: ribosomal RNA, 497 nt
Filed under: uncultured bacterium
Lineage: Bacteria
Description: partial 16S ribosomal RNA
Rfam family: Bacterial small subunit ribosomal RNA
Source: RNAcentral